RNAcentral lists this ribosomal RNA (407 nucleotides) under uncultured bacterium. RNAcentral describes it as "partial 16S ribosomal RNA". It matches the Rfam family "Bacterial small subunit ribosomal RNA", at positions 30 to 526 of the family's 1533-position model. The record is from RNAcentral.
AUUGAACGCUGGCGGCAGGCCUAACACAUGCAAGUCGGGCGGAGCGGCGGACGGGGGAGAUAUGUAUGGGGAUCUGCCUGAUGGAGGGGGAUAACUACUGGAAACGGUAGCUAAUACCGUAUACCCUCAGAUGCACCUAGGUCGGAUUAGCUUGUGGGUGGGGUAACGGCCCACCAAGGCGACGAUCCGUAACUGGUCUGAGAGGAUGAUCAGCAACACUGGAACUGAGACACGGUCCAGACUCCUACGGGAGGCAGCAGUGGGGAAUAUUGGACAAUGGGCGAAAGCCUGAUCCAGCCAUGCCGCGUGUGUGAAGAAGGUCUUCGGAUUGUAAAACACUUUAAGUUGGGAGGCGUUACCAACAGAAUAAGCACCGGCUAACUUCGUGCCAGCAGCCGCGGUAAUUC